AAAUUGCGCGUCGACGUGUGAACUGCAGGACACAUGAACAUCGACGUUUCGAACGCACAUUGCGGUCCAUGGAUUCCGUUCCCGGGCCACGUCUGGCUGAGGGUCGGCUACGUGUACUGAAGCGCGCGGCGUUUUACCUGCCGCUUCGGAGACUUGGGAGCGUCGUGGCCCUCGCACUACGUGGGGCCGCGUCUCCUUAAGCGUGCAAUGCGCGCCCACCGCCUGGCGGUUCGCAUACCGGUACUGUCUCGGUAGCGUGCACAGCCGCCUGGCAGGUGCGGUGCGGGCCACCUCGUACAACGACCUCAGAGCAGGCGAGACUACCCGCUGAAUUUAA
Molecule: ribosomal RNA, 337 nt
Filed under: Arminda brunneri
Lineage: Eukaryota; Metazoa; Arthropoda; Insecta; Orthoptera; Acrididae
Description: eukaryotic LSU rRNA
Rfam family: 5.8S ribosomal RNA (bases 1-106)
Source: RNAcentral